AUGAACGCUGGCGGCGUGCCUAAUACAUGCCAGUCGAGCGAACGGACGAGAAGCUUGCUUCUCUGAUGUUAGCGGCGGACGGGUGAGUAACACGUGGAUAACCUACCUAUAAGACUGGGAUAACUUCGGGAAACCGGAGCUAAUACCGGAUGAUAUUUUUAACCGCAUGGUUCAAAAGUGAAAGACGGUCUUGCUGUCACUUAUAGAUGGAUCCGCGCUGCAUUAGCUAGUUGGUAAGGUAACGGCUUACCAAGGCAACGAUGCAUAGCCGACCUGAGAGGGUGAUCGGCCACACUGGAACUGAGACACGGUCCAGACUCCUACGGGAGGCAGCAGUAGGGAAUCUUCCGCAAUGGGCGAAAGCCUGACGGAGCAACGCCGCGUGAGUGAUGAAGGUCUUCGGAUCGUAAAACUCUGUUAUUAGGGAAGAACAUAUGUGUAAGUAACUGUGCACAUCUUGACGGUACCUAAUCAGAAAGCCACGGCUAACUACGUG
This 496-nucleotide ribosomal RNA is filed under the name uncultured bacterium. RNAcentral describes it as "partial 16S ribosomal RNA". It matches the Rfam family "Bacterial small subunit ribosomal RNA", at positions 29 to 507 of the family's 1533-position model. The record is from RNAcentral.